CCUACGGGAGGCAGCAGUGGGGAAUUUUGGACAAUGGGCGGAAGCCUGAUCCAGCCAUGCCGCGUGAGUGAAGAAGGCCUUCGGGUUGUAAAGCUCUUUCGGUGGGGAAGAAAUGGCACGGGCUAAUACUCUGUGUUGAUGACGGUACCCGCAUAAGAAGCACCGGCUAACUACGUGCCAGCAGCCGCGGUAAUACGUAGGGUGCGAGCGUUAAUCGGAAUUACUGGGCGUAAAGCGUGCGCAGGCGGUUGUGUAAGUCAGAUGUGAAAUCCCCGGGCUCAACCUGGGAACUGCAUUUGAGACUGCACGGCUAGAGUGUGGCAGAGGGGGGUGGAAUUCCACGUGUAGCAGUGAAAUGCGUAGAGAUGUGGAGGAACACCGAUGGCGAAGGCAGCCCCCUGGGUCACUACUGACGCUCAGGCACGAAAGCGUGGGGAGCAAACAGGAUUAGAUACCCUGGUAGUCCACGCCCUAAACGAUGUCAACUAGGUGUUGGGAGGGUUAAACCUCUUAGUGCCGUAGCUAACGCGUGAAGUUGACCGCCUGGGGAGUACGGCCGCCAGGCUAAAACUCAAAUGAAUUGACGG
This 587-nucleotide ribosomal RNA is filed under the name uncultured bacterium. Its description in RNAcentral is "bacterial SSU rRNA". It matches the Rfam family "Bacterial small subunit ribosomal RNA", at positions 338 to 916 of the family's 1533-position model. The record is from RNAcentral.